Molecule: long non-coding RNA, 2787 nt
Organism: Helianthus annuus (common sunflower)
Lineage: Eukaryota; Viridiplantae; Streptophyta; Magnoliopsida; Asterales; Asteraceae
Exons: 7
Source: RefSeq, a predicted model, not a curated record
CAUUAUGAUUUCGAGAGUCCAACUGCAACGUGCUCGUUUAUUUAUUUCUGUUCUCUAUGUUCUUCUUUUAGAUUCUAUAUAACAUUGCUCAGCCAUCUCCGUGUGGAAUAAAACAAUGAUCAAGGAUUACGUCGUGAAGCUUAAACAAAUGAGUGUCGAUUGAUUACUUGAUUAAAAUAGUUUUUGACAGGUUUACGUGAAUCACGAUCUUUGUUGUUAAUACGUGCUGCAAAAUUUGUUUUCAGGAACAUAUUAUUCAAACCGGCGGUGGGUCCGUCCGUGUCUGUAAUCGUGUAUGGAGACCAAGAAAAGCCACCCUUGAUUACAUAUCCAGAUUUAGCUCUAAAUUAUAUGUUGUGUUUUCAAGGACUAUUCUUCUGUCCCGAAGCCGCUUCAUUGCUUCUUCAUAAUUUCUGCAUUUAUCACGUCAGUCCACCUGGACACGAGGUCUGUGAACGGGCUUAUAUUAAUAUAGGGUUGUUUGGAUGUUCAUUUUGAACUUGAUAUUAAAUAAUCAGAAUUAGAUGAUAAAAGUUGGCAAGACGUUAGGGGUUACCUGUAAUUUCAGAAAGUAAAUUAAAAACCCAUACCGAAACAGAGUAGGAAAACAAACCCGUAUUCAAUUGUAUUAGGAGUGUGAAUAUUGAUAGUUUUAUAUGAUUUUUUUCUUGUUUUACACUCGCAAGUUUGGAGAGAAAUUUCCAGACCACCUUUGCUCCAGGUAACUUGGUACAAAUAGAUUUUUUCAAAAUAUUUUAGAAAUUCAUGGAACUACACUGAUAUGUUAUAUGUACAAAGCUCAUGAUGGUAAUUGUGGUAUCUCUUGAUUCUCAAGUCUUUUACAAUGAAGAAUGAGUGUUUUUUGGGCCAUCAUAGAGACAGACAUAUGCAGAAUCAACAACUAAUAUAAUACCUUAAUGUUUCAUCAUUCAUGAAGGAUGCUGUCCUUUUCACUCAUUAAAGCAGGUUGCCCGUUGAAUAUCAGUGGCUCUAAUUUUACUCAUGCUGCCACCAUUUGUUCCGACACGGAAUCAAGAGCAAGUUGUUGUCGUUACAUCAACGCUCUUAUCGCAGUUUCAAUUGCUCGUUAUGCAAACACAGGUAACAACCUAGGAGUUUCUCCAGAACUAUCCGAUAUCUGUCUCCAAGCCAUAUCCCAAACGUUGGAAACACAUGGAAUGACAAAAAAUGCUACGGCUUUUUGUGGAUUCGGGACGAGAAUUCCUGUCAAUUACGAGUGCCUCGGAAUAAAAACAGUCGAUAAGGUGAGGGACGUUGUAAAAAGUGUUUAAACGCUGGAAUUUUGUUUUUGAGGAAUUUAGUCGGAGCUGCGGAUAAUAUCACAUUAAGUACUUGUAGAGAUGCAAUGUUUGUUGCUAUUGCUAGCCAAGUUGACGAUGUAGCGGCCGUUGAGACCGCUGACUGUUUUUUCGGAGUUCAAGGACUCGGUAGCACUUCAGGAUCCUCCACACCUAUAUCUUCUUCACCUGAGUUAUCUCCAAGCUCGUUUGGUGCCGUGGGCCCAAGUCAACUCUCAUUGACCGCACCGGAAAUUAGACACCGUUCCUGCUGUUGGCAUUGCAGUUACAGCGCUAGCCGCUAUCAUGCUGGUAUUAAUGGUUUUCCUUAUUCGCAGAAAAAGUAAAGAACUUGAAGGACAUGACACGACGAUUGAUAAAACCUCAACAGAAACAAAAUCGCAGACAACAAAAAGGUUCCAAGACGAUAUUUUGUGCAACUCCUCCUAUUUAUGACAAAUCAAUUCGACAACUGCAAAGCUUCUUGUCAGGUCUGGUUGCAGAAGAGAAGUUAGAACUUAGAGACGUCAGUUUGAAGAGAAGAUUAAGGAGAUACCCGUGUUGAGGCGAACUCAAGCGUUCUUUUAACAUCAAUGAUGAUGGAGAACCUGACACAUCGCGUGGGGAAUUUGAAUAAUAAACAAGUCGAGCAUGAGGCGAUCUCAAACUAGAAAAGCUACUAUGAGCUAAGUUCGAGCUCCGGAAAUAGAACUCAGAACAAGAUGGGCUCGAGCUCCGGAAAUGGAAUUAGGAACGACCUGAUCUUAAGCCACAACUCCUAUACGUUAAACAAGUCGAGCUUGGGCUCGGCUGUUCUUAUAAGUAUAUCGAUGCUUUGUAAAGAUGGAAUGAGAGAGUGCGAAGAAGACAGAGAGACAACCGAACGGUGAAUGAAGAUUAUCAGGGCGUCGACGAAGAACAAUCGAACCAAGGUACACCGAUGUAACCUUCAUUGGCGACGGCAAAAUAAACGACGAAGAACAGCGUCGGACCGUUCAAAUCGCCGGAAAAAUCAUCUUUUCUUCAACCAAUAAAGGCCGAGUACAGAAAUUGAGAAUGCUUUGCCACACAGGUUGGAUUUUGAAUGGAAGACAGACAACAACACUAUGGAUUGCGGGGUCGUUGUCAUGAGGCAUAUGGAAACGUGGUUCGGGAUAACAGUCGAGAAGUGGAAUAAUGGCUUCCUACUUGAUCAUACCACCAAGAAGGCGUUCUUGACACAUUUGAGGAAGAAGUACGUAGUACAGCUAAUAACUUCAAAGGUUAACAAGCACCGUAAGCGCAUAAUGGCUGAAGAAGUCCAACAUGGGAAGGCGAGCGGAAUAGGUUGUAAUUAGUACGUCUAUGUUGGUUGACAAUAUUAAACGUGUGGUGGUAUGAUGUUUCCGUUUGUUGACAACAUUAAAAAUGUGGUGUUUUGGUGUUUUGUUUUGUUUUGAAAUAGUCGAACACAAAUUUAGUUUUUAUUCGUAUGGUAUUUUUGGUUUUU